UGCAAGUCGAACGGAAGUCGUUAUAAAAAGGAUUGAAGAUUUAUCUGAUUGAGAUUUUAUAACAAUGGCUUUAGUGGCGGACUGGUGAGUAACGCGUGAGCAACCUGCCUACUAGAGGGGAAUAACAGUGAGAAAUCAUUGCUAAUACCGCAUAUGCCAUGAACAUCACAUGAUGAAAAUGGGAAAAGAGUAAUCUGCUAGUAGAUGGGCUCGCGUCUGAUUAGAUAGUUGGUGGGGUAACGGCCUACCAAGUCGACGAUCAGUAGCCGGACUGAGAGGUUGAACGGCCACAUUGGGACUGAGAUACGGCCCAGACUCCUACGGGAGGCAGCAGUCGGGAAUAUUGCGCAAUGGAGGAAACUCUGACGCAGUGACGCCGCGUAUAGGAAGAAGGUUUUCGGAUUGUAAACUAUUGUCGUUAGGGAAGAUACAAGACAGUACCUAAGGAGGAAGCUCCGGCUAACUACGUGCCAGCAGCCGCGGUAAUACGUAGGGAGCAAGCGUUAUCCGGAUUUAUUGGGUGUAAAGGGUGCGUAGACGGGACAACAAGUUAGUUGUGAAAUCCCUCGGCUUAACUGAGGAACUGCAACUAAAACUAUUGUUCUUGAGUGUUGGAGAGGAAAGUGGAAUUCCUAGUGUAGCGGUGAAAUGCGUAGAUAUUAGGAGGAACACCGGUGGCGAAGGCGACUUUCUGGACAAUAACUGACGUUGAGGCACGAAAGUGUGGGGAGCAAACAGGAUUAGAUACCC
This 750-nucleotide ribosomal RNA is filed under the name uncultured bacterium. Its description in RNAcentral is "bacterial SSU rRNA". It matches the Rfam family "Bacterial small subunit ribosomal RNA", at positions 56 to 787 of the family's 1533-position model. The record is from RNAcentral.